RNAcentral lists this ribosomal RNA (492 nucleotides) under uncultured bacterium. RNAcentral's name for it is "partial 16S ribosomal RNA". It matches the Rfam family "Bacterial small subunit ribosomal RNA", at positions 29 to 507 of the family's 1533-position model. The record is from RNAcentral.
AGUGAACGCUGGCGGUAUGCCUAACACAUGCAAGUCGAACGGCAGCACACUAAGAGCUUGCUCUUACGGGUGGCGAGUGGCGGACGGGUGAGGAAUACAUCGGAAUCUACUUUUUCGUGGGGGAUAACGUAGGGAAACUUACGCUAAUACCGCAUACGACCUACGGGUGAAAGCAGGGGAUCUUCGGACCUUGCGCGAUUGAAUGAGCCGAUGUCGGAUUAGCUAGUUGGCGGGGUAAAGGCCCACCAAGGCGACGAUCCGUAGCUGGUCUGAGAGGAUGAUCAGCCACACUGGGACUGAGACGCGGUCCAGGCUCCUACGGGAGGCAGCAGUGGGGAAUAUUGGACAAUGGGGGCAAGCCUGAUCCAGCCGUACCGCGUGGGUGAAGAAGGCCUUCGGGUUGUAAAGCCCUUUUGUUGGGAAAGAAAGGCAGCAGGUUAAUACCCCGCUGUUCUGACGGUACCCAAAGAAUAAGCACCGGCUAACUUCGUG